GGUCAGGUAGCUCAAUAGGUAGAGUACCUGGUAUAUCCAGAAGCCCUGGGUUCAACCCCCGUCUGGGCA
Russula brevipes is the source of this 69-nucleotide non-coding RNA. Lineage: Eukaryota; Fungi; Basidiomycota; Agaricomycetes; Russulales; Russulaceae. The record is from the annotation of a GenBank genome assembly.